Long non-coding RNA from Choloepus didactylus (southern two-toed sloth), 1618 nucleotides. RefSeq lists it as uncharacterized. The transcript is spliced from 3 exons. Lineage: Eukaryota; Metazoa; Chordata; Mammalia; Pilosa; Megalonychidae. The record is from RefSeq and is a predicted model, not a curated record.
GAGAGCCCCAGGAGGUGCUGGCGCCUGCCCCUCCCAGCCAGGCUCCUCGUGGGUGGCACACUACCUCCCAAGGGCCCUGCUCUCCGGCUGGCCCUCCCCAGCUGGCUCUGGGCCUGGCCCAGAGUAGGUGCUCGGUAAGUGCUGGCUGAGCAGCAGCAGAAGCAGCAUGGCCAGGAGAGGGAUUCCACGAGGCCGCCUGGGCCAUGGCAGCCACAGGGCACCCAUCCCUGCAGCUGAUGUUCAUUUUAAAAGCCCCAAAUGUUCAUUUGGGGCGGCUCUCCUCAACCAAGGAAGCUAACGAUUUCUACGCUUCAUUUUUCUUCACCUUAAUCCCACUGCCAAGGCCUCAGGGCCUCUGCUGCCACUGCCCUCGCACUGGCACCUGGUCCUUUCCAGAAGGUGCAGUCAGCCUGGGGAGGGUCCAGAAGGGUCAGGGAGUGCCCAGCUGAACCUCCCUGGCACCCAUGAGGUCCCUGCCAGGUCUUGGCAUUACAGGGUCUGGGGGCAUUAUGACGAGACAGAGUGACUCAGACAGCCCUCCCUGGGCCCUGCGCAGCCCUGAUGACAUCCCCGGCAGGUGUCUUGGGUCCCCCCUCACCGUGCUGCUUCCUGAGCAGAAGACAAAGCUGAGCCAGGCAAGAGCUGGCCCUUUCCAGCCACCAGACACAAGGUUGUGUCCUCAGUUUCCUGAUUUGUGAAAAGCACAGGGAUGGAUCGACAGACAACCAAUCAACUCAAGAGGCUGUCCUGAAAUGAUGCACAUGGAACCACUUAGCCCAGCCUGGCAACCAUCAAGCUCAAGGCUUGUGACUGUGAUGACCAGGGAGACUGGAGAGGGAGCGGUAAAGAGGUGGGCCCUGGAGAACUUACAUCCCAGCUCCACUGUGCCGGCUGUGUGGCCUUGGCUCCAGGAUGAAAUGCAAACAGCUCAGCUGGGCCCGCCAAGCCCCACGGGACCGCAGCUGCAGCCUCACAUCAUGGCUGGAUGGGACCCCUGGCCCAGGGCAGCUCCUUGUCCCCUGGUCUGGAAGCUCUGCAAUUGCCUGACCUGCAGGCCUUGAACAGCAGUGGGUGGCAGGAGGAAGGGGAACCAGCUGAGCUCCUCUCAGGGCCCAGGACUGUACUGGAGGCCAUGGAGGGGGCCCACCAGGAGAGAGAGGUAAGGGACCCUCAGAGACGCCAGGGGGCCUGACAAGGAGCUGUAGUGUGCUCAGGGGGCUGUACUGUCCGAGCUGCCUCAGCCCUGCCACCCCACCCUCCACGCUGUUUCCCGUCUGCCAAGCCAUGAUCUCCAGGGUGGUAAGAGUGAUAGUGAGUGAGGACACCAAAGGGCCUGCGGACAUUUGUUCCUCCUUGCUCCAUGGUUCUCCCUGGGGCCUGGGGUGGGAUGUGGUCACCCUCUGUGCGCCUGGCCCCAGCCAAGCUCUCCUCCCCCCACCUCACUCUGCUCCAGUCCCAUGAGCCCCCUAGAGCCUGCCAACCUGGCUCCUGCCUCAGGGCCUUUACAUGCUGCUCUUUCCACCCGGAAGCUUGUGCCUCCUUCGCAACCCUGAUGUCACUUCCUCAGAUAGGCCCUUGCGGAUCCUCCAGUGUCAGGAGCUCCCAGCUCCCCUGUUUU